GUUGGGAACCCGAAUUUGAAGAAAGCCCAUUGUCCAAGACCUGCUUGUGUUGUAUCAGCAUCUGAUCAAAAUACAUAACCAGGGACUGGAUAUUGAGGAAAUCCUGGGUCACAACUGAUGUACGCGCCAGAACUUCUGCCACCGACAAAAUCUAUGUCGACACAUCCUCAUUGAUGUCUCUGCAGCAAAAACAAAGCAGCAACAACUGAGCAUGUUCCCCCUUCCCCUACUAUCUCAAGGGACAAGUGCUGUUGUUGUUGAUAUGUAUCUAAGAGCAUAGGUGCCUAAUUAUAGUGUAAAGUGGAGUUGCCACCAAGACAGAGUUCAUCUGCAUCUUCCAGCAGAGAUAUUUCAAACAUUUUAAGAUGACAUUAUCAAGUUGUAGCAAAUGAGGCUGUUGUAACAGUCUCAUAAUUAUAACAUCAACAUCAAUAAAACUUUGAAAUUGUU
Molecule: long non-coding RNA, 450 nt
Organism: Notolabrus celidotus (New Zealand spotty)
Lineage: Eukaryota; Metazoa; Chordata; Actinopteri; Labriformes; Labridae
Exons: 2
Source: RefSeq, a predicted model, not a curated record